Long non-coding RNA from Rhagoletis zephyria (snowberry fruit fly), 1116 nucleotides. RefSeq lists it as uncharacterized. The record is from RefSeq and is a predicted model, not a curated record. Lineage: Eukaryota; Metazoa; Arthropoda; Insecta; Diptera; Tephritidae.
CUCAGUCAGCCAACAGCCAAGUAAAAGCAAAGUAGUGGAGCACUUUGCCACGACCCUGUGUGGCAUGUGGCAGUUGUAAACGCAUCGUGUGCAAGUCAAGUUGAUAGCAGCGGUUAACGUGUGAAUUUAAAGUAAAGAAAAAAUCAACGACAACGCGGUGUAGAAGUGAAUUUGAAGUAGAGAGCGUGUGUGAAUAGAAGUCUUGAAAGUUUAUCAGUAAAAAUUUAACAAAAAAAAUUAAAAAAUAUUUAAUGAAUGCAAUUGAUUGUUGCUGUGUAGUGUGUGAGAAAAGUAAUUAUUGAACAAACGCUUCAAUGAGCUACUGAUAGGCGAGUGCGUGAAUUGUGUAAAAGUCAGUCACACGCUAAGUUAAACGCUGCUGGCUGAUAAGCUACACAUGUAUAUGUGUAUGUAUGUAUGUAUAUAUGACCACAGAGCAAGCCACUGAAGUAUCGAGCGGAAGCGUAAAUAUUUUGAAAAUAUACAAAGAAAACAUUUGCUAUAAGAAAAUUGUGCAAAAGGUCAACGAAAGUUCACUAAAAGCAACCGGCAACGCCUCGACGCUCGACGAAGUGUACAGAGCAUUGACGCUAUUUUGUGACAGUUACGCCUGCAAUAAGCGCGAUUGGUGUUGAGAGUGGCAGUGCAAAAGUGUUGCGCGGAAGUGACAAUUAUACAGUAAAAAGAAAAAGAGGUGGAAGCUAAAGUGACAUUUGUGAACGUUUAAGAAGACACUUGAGUGUUGGUAGGCUCAUAAGAACUUUUAUGAUCCCAGACUAGUGUAAAGUGGUGGAGCGCCGCUGAAAAAGUGUGUUUACUUGUGGCAUAUAAUUGUGAUUGGCUGGAAAUUGAUUUAUGUCAAAACACAACGCGUACAAAGGAAAUCAAAAUAAGCCAGUGAACGAGCGCCAGAGGAUUGGCGAAAACCAAAGUCCAAAAUCAAAAAUAAUUGAAAUUGAAUUAAAUCCUGCGAAUGAAACGACAAGCAAACAAAACAAAUUGAAAUGAAAGAAAAUUAUAUUUUUGAAAAUCAAUCAGCAAAUCCAAUUGUAUUGUUGAACAAAGUGAGCAGUUAGACCAACCAACAAAACAGUAAAGAAAUAAAAAAAGUUGCAA